RNAcentral lists this long non-coding RNA (840 nucleotides) under Cavia porcellus (domestic guinea pig). RNAcentral's name for it is "lncRNA (ENSCPOG00000035043.1)". The record is from RNAcentral. Lineage: Eukaryota; Metazoa; Chordata; Mammalia; Rodentia; Caviidae.
CUGAGUCACAGUCUUCGUUUGUUUAAUUCAGAGGCAAUGAGCACCCCGAGCUGCCCUAACCCUGGGAAGCAGGCAGUCCCAGCUGGCCCCCAGCCAGCUGUCCUCCAUGGGAAGUGGCCCAGCCCACCCCGCAGCACUCCUGCAUCCCAGGAGUUUCUGGGCAUCUCCGUAAAGAUUCAACGACCAUGCAGUUUCAGGAGAUCCACUAGCAGAAUUCACUGUGCAUUUAAGAGGAACUGAGCCAGCUGAUUGCUCGAGAGGCCCUGAGGAGCGUGGCCCUCCGUCUCCACUUGAAUGGAAAAGGCUGCAGCAAAACGGCAGCAGAGGGUCCUUGGAUGUCACCAUGCUGCCCUCAGAGCAGAAGCAACAUUGGCUCUCCCCGGAUGGCGGAAUUCUCGGGACCACCCCAGAAGACCAGGAAUGAGCUCAGAAAACCAAGCCAGCAGAUGAGACUGAACACUGGAGUGGAGUUCGUGGGAGGCUCCGGUGUGGGCGCCAAAGCAGAGUUUACUGAAAGCCCUCGCAGCCAGGGAACGCUCUCUCACUGUUUACUCUGAAGGACUUGCAGAGAAACCUUGAGGAUUACUCAGCAGUGUCUAUCGUCUGCUGUCCACGAUGAUGGCGAUGCCAGAGUUACUAUUUGCAGAUCCCAGCUAAUAACAUCAGUGAGAAUCGCACAGCGCCUGUGAAUCAGAAGGAAGAGGUGAUAACAGCGUCUUUAUGACAUGCAGUCACGCGAUAAGAUGCAGACGUAAUGAGAACUCUUUUUCUUCUGGAAAAGAUUAAAGACAUAAAAUCCUGGCUUGGGAAAAAAAGGCUCUUUGUCCUGCUGUAACAAAG